UACGUAGGGUGCAAGCGUUGUCCGGAAUUAUUGGGCGUAAAGAGCUCGUAGGCGGUCUGUCGCGUCGGCUGUGAAAACCCGGGGCUCAACCCCGGGCCUGCAGUCGAUACGGGCAGACUAGAGUGCGGUAGGGGAGACUGGAAUUCCUGGUGUAGCGGUGAAAUGCGCAGAUAUCAGGAGGAACACCAAUGGCGAAAGCAGGUAACUGGACUAUUACUGACACUCAACUGCGAAAGCUAGGGGAGCAAACAGG
This 253-nucleotide ribosomal RNA is filed under the name uncultured bacterium. RNAcentral describes it as "partial 16S ribosomal RNA". It matches the Rfam family "Bacterial small subunit ribosomal RNA", at positions 524 to 776 of the family's 1533-position model. The record is from RNAcentral.